GUGCUUGCUUUGGCAGCACACAUACUGAAACUGGAAUGAUACAGAGAAGAUUAGCAGGGCCCCUGCCCAAGGAUAACAUGCAAAUUUGUAAGCAUUCCUUAUUUUU
Molecule: small nuclear RNA, 106 nt
Filed under: Prolemur simus (greater bamboo lemur)
Lineage: Eukaryota; Metazoa; Chordata; Mammalia; Primates; Lemuridae
Source: RNAcentral